This 903-nucleotide ribosomal RNA is filed under the name Lactiplantibacillus plantarum. Its description in RNAcentral is "bacterial SSU rRNA". It matches the Rfam family "Bacterial small subunit ribosomal RNA", at positions 180 to 1068 of the family's 1533-position model. The record is from RNAcentral. Lineage: Bacteria; Bacillati; Bacillota; Bacilli; Lactobacillales; Lactobacillaceae.
CUUGGACCGCAUGGUCCGAGCUUGAAAGAUGGCUUCGGCUAUCACUUUUGGAUGGUCCCGCGGCGUAUUAGCUAGAUGGUGGGGUAACGGCUCACCAUGGCAAUGAUACGUAGCCGACCUGAGAGGGUAAUCGGCCACAUUGGGACUGAGACACGGCCCAAACUCAUACGGGAGGCAGCAGUAGGGAAUCUUCCACAAUGGACGAAAGUCUGAUGGAGCAACGCCGCGUGAGUGAAGAAGGGUUUCGGCUCGUAAAACUCUGUUGUUAAAGAAGAACAUAUCUGAGAGUAACUGUUCAGGUAUUGACGGUAUUUAACCAGAAAGCCACGGCUAACUACGUGCCAGCAGCCGCGGUAAUACGUAGGUGGCAAGCGUUGUCCGGAUUUAUUGGGCGUAAAGCGAGCGCAGGCGGUUUUUUAAGUCUGAUGUGAAAGCCUUCGGCUCAACCGAAGAAGUGCAUCGGAAACUGGGAAACUUGAGUGCAGAAGAGGACAGUGGAACUCCAUGUGUAGCGGUGAAAUGCGUAGAUAUAUGGAAGAACACCAGUGGCGAAGGCGGCUGUCUGGUCUGUAACUGACGCUGAGGCUCGAAAGUAUGGGUAGCAAACAGGAUUAGAUACCCUGGUAGUCCAUACCGUAAACGAUGAAUGCUAAGUGUUGGAGGGUUUCCGCCCUUCAGUGCUGCAGCUAACGCAUUAAGCAUUCCGCCUGGGGAGUACGGCCGCAAGGCUGAAACUCAAAGGAAUUGACGGGGGCCCGCACAAGCGGUGGAGCAUGUGGUUUAAUUCGAAGCUACGCGAAGAACCUUACCAGGUCUUGACAUACUAUGCAAAUCUAAGAGAUUAGACGUUCCCUUCGGGGACAUGGAUACAGGUGGUGCAUGGUUGUCGUCAGCUCGUGUCGU